Molecule: long non-coding RNA, 273 nt
Organism: Hyla sarda
Lineage: Eukaryota; Metazoa; Chordata; Amphibia; Anura; Hylidae
Exons: 3
Source: RefSeq, a predicted model, not a curated record
GGAAAUUAAAAUUGAAAGCCUGGUUUUUGCAUAAGGGUGAUGUUAAUGAUACUCAAACUGCUGUUUCUCCCUCUUCUAGUGGCAUGAGAUUACAAGACUUGGGCCUCAAAAAUGACUAUCUUAAUGAACAGGACCCAGACAUUCGCUUCACUUUGACCCACUCUUAUGUUUCGUAACCGGAGGGGAUUAUUGUCACUCACGUUUAUAUAUAAAAAUGUUCCGUUUAUUCAUUUACAAUAAAUAACACUCAAUCUAGUUAUUGUUUGAUAUUUU